AUGGCAGCUUUGCAAGAGGUGUGUUUCACUCGUCUCACUGGAGAAAGAAGACCCAGGAGGAGGCUCCAGGUGGGCUCUGGCUCCGGUCCCAGCUUUACCCAGAGCAGCUCCGCUGUGCUGUGUAUGGUGUCGAGUUCUACUGCCGGAGUGAUCACAGGAGCCCCUUCUCUUCAAACAGACCAAGGAUCAUUGCUUCUCACUGGCUCUCAGGCUGUGGACAUGGCAUGGCAACGUGAGCUCAAAGGAGGCCGUUCACCCCAGUCAUUGGGGAACUGGUCAAAAUACAAACUAAAGAUGGCUGCUGUCUCGUCAGUGAGGCCAAGCACAGACUUAGGCUUGAAAAAUGUGGAAAGUUCCUGGCAGGGGCCUGGGACCUGGUGCAGGGGAAAGUCUGCACAGAUACUGAGCUAGGAAGCACACAGGACAGCGUUCAGAGUCAAAAUGCUGAGUGUCUGCAGAUUGGAGAGGUGUUUCCAUCACAUGUAUCUCUGAUAGGAGCCAUCUAAAGCCAAGACGAAGGGAGAUGAGUAAGUUCUGGGGUCUGAGAUGAGGGAGGCAUUUGUCUCUGUACUGCAUGCCUUUCUGGAGGGCAGAAGCCUGGUCAGUUGGUCAGAGUGUGCCUGUGUGUGGGCAGAGGCUCUGAGCCAGGACUGCCUUUUCCCUUGACACAAAGGACUAAAUAUUGAGGAACCAGGUCCACAUAAGGUCAUAGAAUUUCGAGGGUGGAAAGGAUGUUAGGAUUACCUGAGCCUCUGUACUGCUUAAAUCCCCCUAAUAACACAGUCACAAAGUGGACACUUGCUUAAUCACUUCCUGUGAGUGGCCAUGGUUGGCCCCAAGGGACCAGUGGCCACAAGACUGGGAGCACGCUUUAAGCCCCUCUUGAACAGAUGGCCCUUGCCCCACAAUGACUGGCUACGGAUGCCUCCCACCUGAAGGCCUUUGGAAUUGGAAAAUCCUUCCCCCGUGAAAUGUGUGUAUCAAGCUAUAAUGGACCCAAAUUUACUUUGCACACCUUUCCGCUCUGUUUUGUCUCUGCCUUUUAUUUGAAUUUGCAGAUGACUUGCUAACUGACUUCUGUAUGUUACAAAUUUUUUGGCUCAUCCCAGUUCCCAUCCCAAAGUGGUGGUAAGUUGCCAAGUUGGCAAAACUCACAGAAGAUUCCCAUGUACAAAAUCUGGAGGAGGACAUCACCCAGGGAUGAGGCCAGAGUCCCAGUGAGGGUGGAAGGUGCCUACUAGGUCUUCCAGCAAAUUCCUCUCCCCUUUCUGCCCCACCUAGUCCUGCCUGAAGAGGGGAGCCUUAUUUACUCCUUUUUCAAAUUGCUAGGUGUCUUGAAUUUCUUUUUUUUUUUUNNNNNNNNNNNNNNNNNNNNNNNNNNNNNNNNNNNNNNNNNN
This 1397-nucleotide long non-coding RNA is filed under the name Mustela putorius furo (domestic ferret). Its description in RNAcentral is "lncRNA (ENSMPUG00000031699.1)". Lineage: Eukaryota; Metazoa; Chordata; Mammalia; Carnivora; Mustelidae. The record is from RNAcentral.